Molecule: ribosomal RNA, 457 nt
Filed under: uncultured bacterium
Lineage: Bacteria
Description: bacterial SSU rRNA
Rfam family: Bacterial small subunit ribosomal RNA
Source: RNAcentral
UUCUGGCUCAGAGCGAACGCUGGCGGCAGGCUAACACAUGCAAGUCGAGCGGGCGUAGCAAUACGUCAGCGGCAGACGGGUGAGUAACGCGUGGGAACGUACCUUUUGGUUCGGAACAACACAGGGAAACUUGUGCUAAUACCGGAUAAGCCCUUACGGGGAAAGAUUUAUCGCCGAAAGAUCGGCCCGCGUCUGAUUAGCUAGUUGGUGAGGUAAUGGCUCACCAAGGCGACGAUCAGUAGCUGGUCUGAGAGGAUGAUCAGCCACAUUGGGACUGAGACACGGCCCAAACUCCUACGGGAGGCAGCAGUGGGGAAUAUUGGACAAUGGGCGCAAGCCUGAUCCAGCCCAUGCCGCGUGAGUGAUGAAGGCCCUAGGGUUGUAAAGCUCUUUUGUGCGGGAAGAUAAUGACGGUACCGCAAGAAUAAGCCCCGGCUAACUUCGUGCCAGCAGCUGC